AAAGAAGUAAAAUUUACAUUUAGUUUCGACCUAAAAUUAAAGAUUAUUCUUCAUGUUUU
This 59-nucleotide transfer RNA is filed under the name unidentified. RNAcentral's name for it is "Rhytidodus viridiflavus tRNA-Arg". The record is from RNAcentral.